RNAcentral lists this ribosomal RNA (543 nucleotides) under Streptomyces sp. MWW087. RNAcentral describes it as "bacterial SSU rRNA". It matches the Rfam family "Bacterial small subunit ribosomal RNA", at positions 97 to 653 of the family's 1533-position model. Lineage: Bacteria; Bacillati; Actinomycetota; Actinomycetes; Kitasatosporales; Streptomycetaceae. The record is from RNAcentral.
GGCGAACGGGUGAGUAACACGUGGGCAAUCUGCCCUGCACUCUGGGACAAGCCCUGGAAACGGGGUCUAAUACCGGAUACUGACCCGCUUGGGCAUCCAAGCGGUUCGAAAGCUCCGGCGGUGCAGGAUGAGCCCGCGGCCUAUCAGCUUGUUGGUGAGGUAAUGGCUCACCAAGGCGACGACGGGUAGCCGGCCUGAGAGGGCGACCGGCCACACUGGGACUGAGACACGGCCCAGACUCCUACGGGAGGCAGCAGUGGGGAAUAUUGCACAAUGGGCGAAAGCCUGAUGCAGCGACGCCGCGUGAGGGAUGACGGCCUUCGGGUUGUAAACCUCUUUCAGCAGGGAAGAAGCGAAAGUGACGGUACCUGCAGAAGAAGCGCCGGCUAACUACGUGCCAGCAGCCGCGGUAAUACGUAGGGCGCGAGCGUUGUCCGGAAUUAUUGGGCGUAAAGAGCUCGUAGGCGGCUUGUCACGUCGGUUGUGAAAGCCCGGGGCUUAACCCCGGGUCUGCAGUCGAUACGGGCAGGCUAGAGUUCGGUA